AAACCAUCCGACCACAACCGACCGAACCGAAUGCAAAAAAACAAUUCGGGUCGGAUUACACUGGGUCACGGGUUAAAGCGGGUGGUUCGUUCAGUUUAAAGUGGGCUACUUCGGUUCGGGUUAGAAUAUUAGGCCCAUCGGUGGCCGAAUCCGACCGAACCUAUUUUGUUUUAAUACUAUUAUUAUAAUUACUACUAUAUAUUUACUAGUAAGAGUUUGCCCAUCAGCACAACCCUAAUUUCUUUCUCUCUCAGUCCCUCACUAUGUUUUCCUUCUUCUCUUGUCUCUGCCGCCGUGGUAUAAUGGUGCCAAGAUUUGAAGCUACAAAAUUUGGUUCUUCUUUGUUGAAGUUAAAUCUUACCAAAGUUGUGCUUUGAUUUCGAGGUUCAACAAAAAGAUGUAAUGAAGAAUGAUUCUUCUUUUAAGCUUUGAAAGAUAACUAAAGUGUUCUGAAAUUACAGGUCUUGAUAAGGUCUAGAUGAUUAUAACAGAGCAAGAUCUUUGAGUUAAUGUGAUGUCUUAUUCAAAUGUUCAAUUCUUAUUUUUUAGUUUUUCCUUUUUGGAGGUUGUUAAUUGAUUUGUUGUGUAUUUUUGUGAAACGGGGCUAGAGGAUUAUAACAGGAGGAUUAUAACAAAGCGUUACUUUUAUGUUUAUGGAUUUCGACAUUCUUGGUGACCAUGGUGGCUGAAUAUAGAUGCAAGUGAGAAAUUAUGAGUUUAAUGGAGAUUUGAAGUUUGACUCUUUGGUCAUGGGGCUGGAAGUAAGAUAGCAGUGAAGAGAAUUUUCGUUGACUGUGUAAUGGAAUUUGUAAUCCAUUAAGGGAUUUGUUGUUGGCUAUUUACAAGUGCAUUUAUUGAUUUGUAAUGCAUUUUUGUUGAAUGUUUUAGUGUGUGAAGUUACUGCAUUUUAUUAAGCUCAAAAAUAUCUAUGGUUGCAUCAAAAUAUGGAUGCUCCAAAAUACUGUGUUGACUGUGUAAUGAAACUUGUAUGUUUAAAAUAGGAUAGUUUAGAAAUUUAUGUGAUAAAGUGGUUCAUAGUUAACCCAGUAUUAUAAAAAUUUUAUAUUAUUUUUGGAUGA
Molecule: long non-coding RNA, 1079 nt
Organism: Vicia villosa (hairy vetch)
Lineage: Eukaryota; Viridiplantae; Streptophyta; Magnoliopsida; Fabales; Fabaceae
Exons: 7
Source: RefSeq, a predicted model, not a curated record